GAGAGCAAACUAUACUUGCGUACGCGGACGUUAUGGCAUCUCGAGUACGGUUACUAUCGCAUUCGUCCAUCGUGUCUACUGAAGGUUGUUUGCUCGUCCUUCCAUCUUAACGUUCUGAUACCUAAAUUGAUCGAGUAUCAUCAUAAUAAAGUAUCUCGUAAAUUUCGAAUAAACACGAAGAGGCAACGAUCGCGUUCGAUAAUUAAGCAAUUAAAUUUCUUUUGGUUAGUUAUCAUCAUCAAUGUUAUUAUUCAACGAAUUCGUAUACGUUCAAUACGAGGAUCGUCCCGAUCUGCGUUAUGCAAACGAACGAGAUAAAAAUACUUUACGUUACACCUGGCGAUAAAACGUACGCGCAAGAGAGUGCAAUUCGAUUAUCAGUGACGCUCGUUCGUCUGCGCUUAUAUCGGCGCUCUAAACAGCCAAUGGGAGCAUACCUUCUACGGACUGAAAUAGAUCUUAUCGUAAAGGCCUUAUCGAUAUUUUCAACUUAGUUUGUCCGAGUCAAAUACGCUGCGACAGAUUUUUACACGGUCACAAGUCUUACGCGAUUACCUAUUACUACGUCUUUUCAUCGUAGUUUUGCGCAGCGAUAUUUCCGCGUCGAAGAUUAAUCGAUAAAUAUAAAAUCGCAAGAAACGAAGACCGUCAAAUAUUUCCUUCGAAUAUUUAUCUGUGGAAGACGCGAGUCCGUGGUAUCUGCUGCUUUGGUCCAGGAUAAUUAUUUAUGUCAGAUAGGAUCUCAACUGGGGUUCUACGUUGGGAAACAAAAGGAUCCGGCGAUGGGAAGGAUAGGAACUAAAGGGAAGAGGAUUCUGGGAGGUUGCCGGAGGAUCACCGAACUCUAUUCUUUCUCCUAAGACGUAAGGAAUACACGAAAGAAGAGGAGAACUGACAAGGACCUUGAUGAAAUGAAGGGUCGACUCGAAAAACCAAAGAUCCUUGAAAAUAUAUAUAUAUAUAUAUAUAUAUAUAUAUAUAUAUAUAUAUAGUAUAUAUACACACAAGAUAUAUACUUUCUUUUUUCAGUAGUAUCAAUGACAAACUCGACGAAAGAUCGAAAACGUAAUUAAUUAGCUUCCCACUGAAGUCGCUGAAUUAACGACCUACUUAUUUGCGUGCGACGUUAUUAAUAUUAUUAAAUUCGUCCGAGAACAGCGGGUAUAGAAAAGACAUAAAGUAUUAUUUUUGAGACGUACUGUUUUGUGUUGUGUGUAGGUUGUACGAUGUAAACAAGACUUGAGGGAGAAAGAGUUUCUCCCUCGUUUCGACGGGCUAUAAAACCGUCAAUGAAUAAACCUGUUGAUAAAUAUUA
Vespa crabro (European hornet) is the source of this 1315-nucleotide long non-coding RNA. RefSeq lists it as uncharacterized. Lineage: Eukaryota; Metazoa; Arthropoda; Insecta; Hymenoptera; Vespidae. The record is from RefSeq and is a predicted model, not a curated record. The transcript is spliced from 2 exons.